RNAcentral lists this transfer RNA (73 nucleotides) under bacterium. RNAcentral's name for it is "tRNA-Ala". It matches the Rfam family "tRNA". Rfam says of the family: Transfer RNA (tRNA) molecules are approximately 80 nucleotides in length. The record is from RNAcentral.
GGGGCUGUGGCGCAGUUGGGAGCGCGUCUGACUGGCAGUCAGAAGGUCAGGAGUUCAAGUCUCCUCAGCUCCA